Tachysurus fulvidraco (yellow catfish) is the source of this 310-nucleotide long non-coding RNA. RefSeq lists it as uncharacterized. Lineage: Eukaryota; Metazoa; Chordata; Actinopteri; Siluriformes; Bagridae. The record is from RefSeq and is a predicted model, not a curated record. The transcript has 3 exons.
AGACUGCAGCUGAGGCCUCAGCGAAAACACAGAUUGAAGUUAUAAAGGGCUCUGGGGUGUUUUGCCAGGCAGAAGUGUGGAAAGCAGCCCGCCUUGCCAACUCUGCUACUGCCAUGGCGCCAAAUCUGCUGCUGGGCAUCUUUGAUUUGGAGACUUUGCUGAAAAGCAACCUGAAUGGUGGGAAGCCAACCAGAGGGGAUGGGGAGAAGCUGGUCGCCCUUGACAAAAUUAAAAAGGCAGCCAUUAUUGGUGAGUAAAUGUAUAAUGCGUUGAGAAGCGAAAACACAUCUUUUAAGACAUUAUAAGUUCA